Molecule: ribosomal RNA, 468 nt
Filed under: Thalassiosira rotula
Lineage: Eukaryota; Bacillariophyta; Thalassiosirophyceae; Thalassiosirales; Thalassiosiraceae
Description: partial Bacterial large subunit ribosomal RNA
Rfam family: Bacterial large subunit ribosomal RNA
Source: RNAcentral
UGGAAGGGCCAUCGCUCAACGGAUAAAAGGUACUCCGGGGAUAACAGGCUGAUACCGCCCAAGAGUUCAUAUCGACGGCGGUGUUUGGCACCUCGAUGUCGGCUCAUCACAUCCUGGGGCUGAAGUCGGUCCCAAGGGUAUGGCUGUUCGCCAUUUAAAGUGGUACGCGAGCUGGGUUUAGAACGUCGUGAGACAGUUCGGUCCCUAUCUGCCGUGGGCGUUUGAUAUUUGAGAGGAGUUGACCUUAGUACGAGAGGACCGGGUUGAACGUAUCUCUGGUGUUCCGGUUGUCACGCCAGUGGCAUCGCCGGGUAGCUAAAUACGGACAGGAUAACCGCUGAAAGCAUCUAAGCGGGAAGCCCACCUUAAGAUUAGAUUUCCCUAAAGAGCCGUUGUAGACUACGACGUUGAUAGGUUGGGUGUGUAAGCGCUGUGAGGUGUUGAGCUAACCAAUACUAAUUGCCCGUG